AGCGAACGCUGGCGGCGUGCUUAACACAUGCAAGUCGAACGGAGGAUUUAUUUCGGUAAAUCCUUAGUGGCGAACGGGUGAGUAACGCGUGGGCAAUCUGCCCUUCAGAUGGGGACAACAUCCCGAAAGGGGUGCUAAUACCGAAUACGAUCCUUCUUCCGCAUGGAGGAAGGAUGAAAGAUGGCCUCUAUUUAUAAGCUAUCGCUGAAGGAUGAGCCUGCGUCUGAUUAGCUAGUUGGUGGGUAACGGCCUACCAAGGCGAUGAUCAGUAGCCGGUCUGAGAGGAUGAACGGCCACAUUGGGACUGAGACACGGCCCAAACUCCUACGGGAGGCUG
This 337-nucleotide ribosomal RNA is filed under the name uncultured Bacillota bacterium. Its description in RNAcentral is "bacterial SSU rRNA". It matches the Rfam family "Bacterial small subunit ribosomal RNA", at positions 29 to 351 of the family's 1533-position model. Lineage: Bacteria; Bacillati; Bacillota. The record is from RNAcentral.